UACAGAGGUGGCAAGCGUUGUUCGGAAUUACUGGGCGUAAAGGGCUCGUAGGUGGCCAACUAAGUCAGACGUGAAAUCCCUCAGCUUAACUGGGGAACUGCGUCUGAUACUGGAUGGCUUGAGUUUGGGAGAGGGAUGCGGAAUUCCAGGUGUAGCGGUGAAAUGCGUAGAUAUCUGGAGGAACACCGGUGGCGAAGGCGGCAUCCUGGACCAACACUGACACUGAGGAGCGAAAGCGUGGGGAGCGAACAGG
This 253-nucleotide ribosomal RNA is filed under the name uncultured bacterium. RNAcentral describes it as "partial 16S ribosomal RNA". It matches the Rfam family "Bacterial small subunit ribosomal RNA", at positions 524 to 776 of the family's 1533-position model. The record is from RNAcentral.